Molecule: unclassified non-coding RNA, 238 nt
Filed under: Rhizophydium sp.
Lineage: Eukaryota; Fungi; Chytridiomycota; Chytridiomycetes; Rhizophydiales; Rhizophydiaceae
Description: partial contains 5.8S ribosomal RNA, internal transcribed spacer 2, and large subunit ribosomal RNA
Rfam family: 5.8S ribosomal RNA (bases 1-52)
Source: RNAcentral
AACGCACAUUGCGCCCUGUGGUAUUCCGCAGGGCAUGCCUGUUCGAGCGUCAUUAUAGCCACUCAAGCCUCGCUUGGUGUUGGGGCUCGCAAUCUUGCGGCCUCUAAAAUCAGUGGCGGUGCCGGUAGGCUCUGAGCGUAGUACAUCUCCUCGCUAUAGAGUCCUGUCGGUCCCCUGCCAAAACCCCCAUAUUUUAUAGGUUGACCUCGGAUCAGGUAGGGAUACCCGCUGAACUUAA